CGCCCGGAGUCCUCGCAGUCUCUCUUGGACUCUCUUCGCCGCAGCACGGACUCUAGCCACCGCACGCCACGCCCGCACUCUCCUAUCAGUUUCCCAUGUUGUUCCGCGCCCUUAUGUGUCAAUGAGGAAUAAGGUUCUAUCGUUUAAUGCCAGAGACAAGUUUCUCCCAACAGUCCGUUUGGCCAAGAAUUUGAGCACCCGAAAAGGCAGCCGUCGAGGCAACGCGGGCAACCGUCUAGAACUUCAGGUGCUCACCCAGCUCCAGCACGUUCCGUAGAUUCUCGAACCCGUGGUUCGUCAAGUGGUCACUAGUGGUCGCAUUCACGCACUCCGAAUCCGUCAAGAUGGUCCAGGAAGACAAGGCUUGUGGGUACACUGUGCGCAGCUACGAGACGAGGGACCCCGCCGCCAAGAAGGCCGGGUACGAUGCGGUGCGGCGCGCCGAGGCGGAGCGCCAGCGCCUGCAGCAGGAGAAGGAGCGCGAGAAGCAGAAGCAAGCCCAGGCCAACAAGAGCUACGGUUCCUGGGGGCCCGUCUUCAAGAACCGCGAGCACUUCAACUCCAUGCACAUUUGUUGAGGCCCUUCAAACGCCCGCCACAAACGCCCCGCACGUCUAAAAGAAAAAGAAAUAAUUUGGAGUCCGAGAUUGUCGCAGCUUGACUGAUUUUGAACUGAUCUUUUGUAAUGACUUAAAAAAGGAAAAAAGACUGAUUCUUGAGUGUGCCAUACAUCGUGAAAGUCCAUAUUUUUCGUUCCAGUUGUCGUGGUUGGCUAGUUUUGUGUGCGUGAAUGUGACCACUAGUCACGCUGGGUCCCCGUUGCGGGGGCCCAAUUGACAUUGCUUUUCUGUUUUGCUUUCAUUUUGCUUUUGGGUAGCGGCACCUUGCCAUUUCAUUGAAAUAAAGUAAGGUUAUUAUCUGGGUAAA
RNA transcript from Thrips palmi, 927 nucleotides. RefSeq lists it as uncharacterized. NCBI's taxonomy places the organism in Eukaryota, Metazoa, Arthropoda, Insecta, Thysanoptera, Thripidae. The transcript is spliced from 4 exons. The record is from RefSeq and is a predicted model, not a curated record.